GUCUUCUAUUUCUCUAAGGGGUGGCAAGCCAUCAACCUCUUCAAAGUCCUUCAAUGCCAUCAAACUGUCAAUCAUUUCAUCCGUAAUUCCAGAAGCAGCAAUAAGAUCACCAAAAGCACGGUUGGGUCCUUUUCAAACGACAGUCAACUGUUUCUCUUCCUUCUCAAGUUUCUUAGGAUCCUCAAUUCUCUGACUAUCAGUUGUCUCACUCUCCACAAUACUACUCUCAGG
Long non-coding RNA from Neltuma alba, 231 nucleotides. RefSeq lists it as uncharacterized. Lineage: Eukaryota; Viridiplantae; Streptophyta; Magnoliopsida; Fabales; Fabaceae. The transcript is spliced from 3 exons. The record is from RefSeq and is a predicted model, not a curated record.